CCUACGGGGAGCAGCAGUGGGGAAUAUUGGGCAAUGGGCGCAAGCCUGACCCAGCAAUGCCGCGUGAAGGAAGAAGGCUUUCGGGUUGUAAACUUCUUUGACAGGGGAAGAGCAGAAGACGGUACCCUGAAAACAAGCCACGGCUAACUACGUGCCAGCAGCCGCGGUAAUACGUAGGUGGCAAGCGUUGUCCGGAUUUACUGGGUGUAAAGGGCGUGUAGCCGGGAAGGCAAGUCAGAUGUGAAAUCUGGAGGCUCAACCUCCAAAUUGCAUUUGAAACUGUUUUUCUUGAGUACUGGAGAGGCAGACGGAAGUCCUUGUGUAGCGGUGAAAUGCGUAGAUAUAAGGAGGAACACCAGUGGCGAAGGCGGUCUGCUGGACAGCAACUGACGGUGAGGCGCGAAAGCGUGGGGAGCAAACAGGAUUAGAUACCCCAGUAGUC
This 442-nucleotide ribosomal RNA is filed under the name uncultured bacterium. RNAcentral describes it as "partial 16S ribosomal RNA". It matches the Rfam family "Bacterial small subunit ribosomal RNA", at positions 338 to 795 of the family's 1533-position model. The record is from RNAcentral.